RNAcentral lists this ribosomal RNA (754 nucleotides) under uncultured Haemophilus sp. RNAcentral's name for it is "bacterial SSU rRNA". It matches the Rfam family "Bacterial small subunit ribosomal RNA", at positions 82 to 831 of the family's 1533-position model. The record is from RNAcentral. Lineage: Bacteria; Pseudomonadati; Pseudomonadota; Gammaproteobacteria; Pasteurellales; Pasteurellaceae.
UUCUUGCUGACGAGUGGCGGACGGGUGAGUAAUGCUUGGGAAUCUGGCCUAUGGAGGGGGGAUAACGACGGGAAACUGUCGCUAAUACCGCGUAUUAUCGGAAGAUGAAAGUGCGGGACUGAGAGGCCGCAUGCCAUAGGAUGAGCCCAAGUGGGAUUAGGUAGUUGGUGGGGUAAAGGCCUACCAAGCCUGCGAUCUCUAGCGGGUCUGAGAGGAUGACCAGCCACACUGGAACUGAGACACGGUCCAGACUCCUACGGGAGGCAGCAGUGGGGAAUAUUGCGCAAUGGGGGGAACCCUGACGCAGCCAUGCCGCGUGAAUGAAGAAGGCCUUAGGGUUGUAAAGUUCUUUCGGUAUUGAGGAAGGUUGAUGUGUUAAUAGCACAUCAAAUUGACGUUAAAUACAGAAGAAGCACCGGCUAACUCCGUGCCAGCAGCCGCGGUAAUACGGAGGGUGCGAGCGUUAAUCGGAAUAACUGGGCGUAAAGGGCACGCAGGCGGUUAUUUAAGUGAGGUGUGAAAGCCCCGGGCUUAACCUGGGAAUUGCAUUUCAGACUGGGUAACUAGAGUACUUUAGGGAGGGGUAGAAUUCCACGUGUAGCGGUGAAAUGCGUAGAGAUGUGGAGGAAUACCGAAGGCGAAGGCAGCCCCUUGGGAAUGUACUGACGCUCAUGUGCGAAAGCGUGGGGAGCAAACAGGAUUAGAUACCCUGGUAGUCCACGCUGUAAACGCUGUCGAUUUGGGGGUUGGGGUU